AGAUACCCUGUUACACUAGAAGGUAAAUGAACAUGUCGACUGGAGUAGUUAUAAUAAAUUUGUUUAAAAUUCAAAGAACCUGGCGGUACUUUAGUCUAGUUAGAGGAACCUGUUGUAUAAACGAUAAACCACGUAAGAUCUUUCUCACUCUCGUAAAGCCAGUAUACCUUCAUUGUUAGAUAAUCUUUUCUUACAUGGAUUAUUGGAAUUGGGUUACCAAGUAUAUUAGAUCAAGGUGCUGCUGAUGAGUGAGUACAAAUGGGUUACAGUAUUUUUUUGGAGAGGCGGAUAAUAUCAAGAAUUUGAUAUUUGAAGAUGGAUUUAAUUGUAAGUUUUGGUUUUAGUAAGGCAAAA
Molecule: ribosomal RNA, 354 nt
Filed under: Panulirus penicillatus
Lineage: Eukaryota; Metazoa; Arthropoda; Malacostraca; Decapoda; Palinuridae
Description: partial 12S ribosomal RNA
Source: RNAcentral